UGAAUACUGCCACCGGGUAGUGAAUCGCUGAUACAGCAUUCGCCUGCACAUCGUUAGGUCUUAGCAGAUGUGCGUGCGGAUGCUGUUUUGUU
RNAcentral lists this non-coding RNA (92 nucleotides) under unclassified sequences. The record is from RNAcentral.